This 373-nucleotide RNase P RNA is filed under the name zebrafish metagenome. RNAcentral's name for it is "Bacterial RNase P class A". It matches the Rfam family "Bacterial RNase P class A". From Rfam's summary of the family: Ribonuclease P (RNase P) is a ubiquitous endoribonuclease, found in archaea, bacteria and eukarya as well as chloroplasts and mitochondria. Its best characterised activity is the generation of mature 5'-ends of tRNAs by cleaving the 5'-leader elements of precursor-tRNAs. Cellular RNase Ps are ribonucleoproteins. The record is from RNAcentral.
GGAUAAGCAGUCGCUGCUAUGGGCCUGUACGCAGGUCUAUGGGAGAGGAAAGUCUGGACCUCGCAGGAGAGGAUACCAGUGAAAGACUGGGGGCCGCAAGGCUACGGAAAGUGUAACAGAGAACAUUCCGCUGACCACCUUUGGUUGGUUAGACAGGGUGAAAUGCACGCCUUAGGGGCGCUGCCAUACUUGGGGGAACCCAGGGUGUUAUAAACCCUAUCCGAGGCAAGACAACCGGAGCGUUAUUCUGUUCUCCACAGAGCUCCAACAAGUCGCUUGAGGAUCCCAGCGAUGGGGACCCUAGACGAAUGACUGCUCGUUGGGUUGCAGAUUUUCUGCGGCUUGACUGACAAAAUCCGGCUUAUCGUUCUCC